Oncorhynchus kisutch (coho salmon) is the source of this 1670-nucleotide long non-coding RNA. NCBI's taxonomy places the organism in Eukaryota, Metazoa, Chordata, Actinopteri, Salmoniformes, Salmonidae. The record is from Ensembl.
ACAAAUUGUUCGAUUCCCGACGUCUCUCUCUCUCUCCUACAGGUGUGUAAGGCUGAGAUAGCAGUCCGCCAGCUCACAGUGGACUAUGUCAACCAGUCGGAGUUGCAGACGAGCAGAGGGAGAUAUGAACACCCAGAUUAUGCUGAUGAGCUGGGCGGUCUUAACCACCGCUGGCUCAGUCUACAGGGCACCCUCAACAACCAGAUCCAGGAUGUUGAACAGGAGCUGAGGAUGUGCACAGAGAGAGAGGUCAGACUGCAGCACCACCACACUUGGCUCACCAGUCAGAGAGAGUGGAUGGGCUCAGCCCAGAGGCCCGUCAGUCACUCUGAGGUGGAGAAGAGCUUAAAAACCUGUGAGGUGGGUUGAAAAACAGAACCUGGUGUACAGUACCACAGGUGUCAAGUCAUUUGCCCUCUAGCUAUUUCUAUGAUGACAGGGCCAUGUGCAAUAUUUUGUUUUUACCAGGUGUUUAUGUUUUUUAGAACCCCAAUAUUAUCAGAUCCAACAGCAAUUUAUUAGCAAUGAUGUGCACUGAUUUUGAUGUGUAAUGUCUUGACUUCUGUUUUUAAGAUGUCUGAAGCAUGUACAGUAAGAUGUCUGCUAGUAUAUAAUGUUUAUAUGUUCACCUACCAAGGGACUGCAGAUGGAAAUGAGAUAUUAGCUAAAUCUUACUUCUGAGACAUAUAUUUUGUUGUACGUUGUCCCUGUUUCAAAUAAACGUAAUAAAUAAAUCAAAUACAUUGGGGAUUGGACCUACAGUUGAACAUGCAUGUGUUACUGCGUUUGCUACUCCUGUCUGUCAGGGUCUGGAGGAGAAACUCUGGCUAAAUUAUACAGCUCUUCAAGAGUUGAGAGAGAAACACCACACAGGAAAAGAGGAUGGCACCUGUGCCUUCAUCACUCAGACAGAUGAUGUCAUUAAGGCCUGUACAGCCUUCAGUCAAGAGGUAAGCUCAGGGGAAUGAGGGCAGUUGCUUAACAAAUACAUGUAUUCACUGCAUGGACACUAGUUGUAAAAACCUUCAAAUUGUAGGGUGCAGUGGCUCCUAUUUUGACUCAUUGUUUCCCCCUCCAGAACCCAGCUGUGCGACAGAGACUGAAACAGGUUUUGGAGCUGUGGGCUGGGUUUGAGAAAGGACUGAAUGAUGCAACACUGGACACAGUGAAGACCUGCCAGGCUAUGGAAUACAGCUGCUUCCCUCAGCUUUCUCUCCAGGCCCUGCAACGACUCCAUGAAAAGCUCCAGGUAGGUACUACUGUAUAGCCAUCAAGUUUGAUUUCCAGUGGCGAUUUUAGCAUGUAAAUCUUAGUGGGGCAUGCCAGCAAAGUCACUACACAAACACAGCACAACACUAAACAAUACAUUAAGUGCACUAUAAUGGUGAAAAACGGUGCCCACAAACUGUUAGGGCCUACAUAAAGCUGUCCCAACAGCAGAGUCCCAACAGAAGUCCCAACACCUUACCACUACUACACCUGGCUAUCAGCGGAGCCUUGUCUGGCUUCGAAACAGUUAAUUCAGACUCAUUUUCUGCCUCUAAAAAAAAAAGUACCUAAUAUGGCUGACUUGUUAUUUCUAAUGACAAUUGUGAUGUAUAAACUAUGGCAUAAGGGGAUGACGAGGGGAUAAGAGGCAAUCCAUAAUUUUGAUUAAGACAUUAAUGAGC